This 782-nucleotide unclassified non-coding RNA is filed under the name Bombus terrestris (buff-tailed bumblebee). Its description in RNAcentral is "misc RNA ENSBTSG00005024168.1". The record is from RNAcentral. Lineage: Eukaryota; Metazoa; Arthropoda; Insecta; Hymenoptera; Apidae.
UGAAUUUAUUAGCGGCCUCCAUUAUCGGGCUUCGCCGAACCCCAAGGCGACCGUUCGUACGCCUUUCGUUUUACCGAGAAACGGCCAAGAGAAACGAGGGAUCCUCGAAAAGGGAGGGUAAAAAGAAGCGGCCGAGGACAGAAGGAAAGAAAGGCCGGCUACGUGGGUUAACGGAGCACUUCGCGUCUUUAUCCGGCGCCGGUCGACCGCCCUUUGUUCCGCUUCGAGCACCGUGAAUACUUCAAAGGAUGUCCGGCCUCCAGUAGUAUUGAUAGCAGCGCUUCCUCGAUGGUUUCUAAAUAAAUUUACGUGGCGCUCUACCGCAGACCCUUUCUCAGGCUACCGUGCAGCAACCACGGAAGAGACAUCGUUUGUAUCACCGAAUAACAACCGUCGAAUGUUUGCAAUGGAAGACUGUCUUAUAUAAAACAGAAGAAAAGAGGACGCCGUGGGAAUUCGCGGGACCGACUAGCAUUUACGCUUGUAACAUUCGCGGAACAAGAAGGUGGACAGCGAAAUGGAGCGAGCGUGGCGUUGUAGACGGACGACGAACAACCAGCGCCGCUAGUCCGACGGUAAAUCAACGCGAGAAGAACUUCCCGAUGCGAGGCAACGACGACGAAUCGAGGAAGAAGAGAGCUGGCGGAAGACGAGAAAAGAGGGACGUCGGGAGGACACGACGAGUUUUCCGGCGACAAGCAGCCAGCGAGCUUUGUGCUCCGGCAAAGGGUGUCUCGCGGCAGCCGGAGGGUGUAACCCCAGCUUAUUCAUACGCAGGAAAC